RNAcentral lists this transfer RNA (94 nucleotides) under Perca fluviatilis (European perch). It matches the Rfam family "tRNA". From Rfam's summary of the family: Transfer RNA (tRNA) molecules are approximately 80 nucleotides in length. Their secondary structure includes four short double-helical elements and three loops (D, anti-codon, and T loops). The record is from Rfam by way of RNAcentral. Lineage: Eukaryota; Metazoa; Chordata; Actinopteri; Perciformes; Percidae.
GGCUCUGUGGCGCAAUGGACAGCGCAUUGGACUUCUAGUUGACGGCAAAUGAGGAGGGAUUCAAAGGUUGUGGGUUCGAGUCCCACCAGAGUCA